GCUGUUAAAGGAUAAUAGUUAUCCACUGGCCUUAGGAGUCAGCAAUUCUUGGUGCAAAUCCAAGUAGCAGCU
This 72-nucleotide transfer RNA is filed under the name Johnius grypotus. RNAcentral's name for it is "tRNA-Leu". It matches the Rfam family "tRNA". From Rfam's summary of the family: Transfer RNA (tRNA) molecules are approximately 80 nucleotides in length. Their secondary structure includes four short double-helical elements and three loops (D, anti-codon, and T loops). Lineage: Eukaryota; Metazoa; Chordata; Actinopteri; Sciaenidae. The record is from RNAcentral.